Small nucleolar RNA from Equus asinus (donkey), 132 nucleotides. The record is from Ensembl. NCBI's taxonomy places the organism in Eukaryota, Metazoa, Chordata, Mammalia, Perissodactyla, Equidae.
GGCCUACUGGUGCUUAUGACAGGCUGUGUUCUUACACUGAAUAUACAGAAGGAGGAGCCAGAGUAAACCUACACCAUAUACACCUCCAGCUAUGCCCUCUGCCUCAUCUCUAUUGUGAAUGGGGGGACAUGG